UUCUAAUAUGGCAGAUUAGUGCAAUGGAUUUAAGCCCCAUAUAUAAAGUUUUAUUUUUGCUUUUUUUAGAA
Molecule: transfer RNA, 71 nt
Filed under: Geostiba circellaris
Lineage: Eukaryota; Metazoa; Arthropoda; Insecta; Coleoptera; Staphylinidae
Description: tRNA-Leu
Source: RNAcentral